Long non-coding RNA from Dromaius novaehollandiae (emu), 540 nucleotides. RefSeq lists it as uncharacterized. NCBI's taxonomy places the organism in Eukaryota, Metazoa, Chordata, Aves, Casuariiformes, Dromaiidae. The record is from RefSeq and is a predicted model, not a curated record. The transcript is spliced from 5 exons.
ACGUGAGAACAGAAAAGAUUUUCCCUGAAGACUGACACUUGGAUAUUGCUUGGUGUGAAUGCUGAGUUACUGCAGCAAUGUCAGUGCGGAAUCACACAACUGUGUCUGAGGAAAGGUCUGGGUCAUCUGACAAGUGUAAAAUAAUCAGCAUUCAUACAUUCCUUCUCCGGUUGAUUAUAUCUUCCAAAAUAACUGUGCAACAAGGUUCCAUAUUUGGCUUGAUGGAAGUUUCUGGAAUGUGUCUGGAGUAAGAAUUUCUCUUCCCAUGGAUCAGAAUCAGAAGUCGGUGUACAAGACAAUUUGUGAUUUUCUUUAGAGUAAGAGAAAGGCAUCUCCAUGGGAGAGUAUAAAUAAAUAUUAAACAGAAGUCACAAAUGUAUUGCUCAAGCUACACAGAACACAUCAUCUGUAUUGCAUCAGCUCCAAGAAACAGUGAGAAAAAGAAUAAUGUAUUCACCUGAAGGAAAAAGCCCCGUCUGUUUCCAAAGCAGCAAUGGUACCAACACACUCAUCCUUUUCUUACGAUUAAGAAGAAACUCG